This 1850-nucleotide long non-coding RNA is filed under the name Pelobates cultripes (western spadefoot toad). Lineage: Eukaryota; Metazoa; Chordata; Amphibia; Anura; Pelobatidae. The record is from RNAcentral.
CCGCAGACUAAAAAGAAUUCUUCUGUUUUUCAUUCAAAAAUAUUUACUGGUCCAAAUGACGAUUGAAAACAUAAAAACUUUUGUGAAUCAAUAACAUAGCUCAUUGUAUGAUAGGAAGCAAGCUUGUAUGAAAGUCAGUUGGAACAAUGCUGUGUUAUUUUAUAGAGUGAAAAAGGCAGAUCUGUGUGUUUAUAGCAGCAUGGGGUAAAUCUUCCAGACACAACAAACAUUAAGGUAAUGUGUCUGCAUGUGAGAUAACAAUGUUACGCAGCCUAGGUGACAAGGAUUUUGUAUAUUUUAAAGAGGUGUUAAUGGUGGAUAAUACGAUUUCAGGGGCAUGUUAAGUAAAUGAAAGAAUAAUUAGUGAGUCGCCAAUAUGACAUUUUAAAGGCAAGCAGUUAGGGAAAACAGGACAUCAAAAGUGUCAAUGGAAAGCAAUUAACACAGGUCAGGUGUCAAUGGAAAAAGUGAAAAGAAAUCAGGUGUAUGUGGGAUAAUACUGGUCAGUGUAAUGUAGCAAGAGUUCAGAAUGUGCGGUUAAGGUGUUACUGGCACCUUAUUGGGUACAGCGUUGGUCAGUGUGUCUGGUUGAGCAAAAUAUAGUUCAUGUCACUGUGUAGUUUAUAUGGGGUACAAGUUAGCAUGCCUGAUUACUGAGUGGGAGACUGUGCAGGUCAAUAUGUACUGUGAAUGCAGAUCUGAGUGAAUGUAUAUGAAUCAGAAUGAGUAGGGUUCAGUGUGGGUCAGGGCACAUUAAGUGGGCUUCUCUUUAGUAUAAUCAGGAUAAGCAGAGUUUUUUUUUUUAUAUCAGUGUAGGGUGAAUGAGUCUCUGGGUAGGACAGUGUAGGGUGAGUGGGGUUCUGUGGGCGAGUGUGGCUGUAUGGAUGUGAAUACAGGGUGAGUGGGGCUCUGUGAUGGGGAGAGAGAGGGGUGAUAGUGAAUGCUGCAGACAGUGCAGGAUUAUUGGGGUACAUGUGGCAGUUGAUUAAUCCAGUAAACAAUGCAGGAUGAGUGGGCUCUGUGGAGGAGAGUGAAGAUAAUGUAGUGUGAGUAAGGAAUAAUGAAUAGUGAGUGGGGUACAGGUGACACAAAGUAAGGGUAAGUGGGGUCCAGGUUCAGUGAGGGUAAGUAGGGUCCAGGUUCAGUGAGGGUAAGUAGGGUCCAUGUUCAGUGAGGGUGAGUAGGGUCCAGGUUCAGUGAGGGUAAGUAGGGUCCAGGUUCAGUGAGGGUGAGUAGGGUCCAAGUUCAGUGAGGGUGAGUAGGGUCCAAGUUCAGUGAGGGUGAGUAGGGUCCAAGUUCAGUGAGGGUGAGUAGGGUCCAGGUUCAGUCAAUGAGUGCUGCAGCCAGUGAAGGUGAGUGGGAGACAGUCAGUGAGGGUGAGUGAGAGACAGUGAGUGGGAGACAGUCAGUGAGUGCUGCAGACAGUGAGGGUGAGUGGGAGACAGUCAGUGAGUGAGAGACAGUGAGGGUGAGUGAGAGACAGUGAGGGUGAGUGGGAGACAGUCAGUCAGUGAGUGGGAGACAGUCAGUCAGUGAGUGGGAGACAGUCAGUGAGUGAGUGAGAGACAGUCAGUGAGAGAGUGAGAGACAGUCAGUGAGUGUCCUCCAUUAGUGAAUGGGAUGGAUCUCCAGUCGGUGUGUGCUCGGGAAGCCGCUGUCUCUCGGUCGGUCGGUCGGGGAUGCUCGGUUUCCAGGCCCGCCGGUCGGUUGUGACUCCGGUCAGAGCUGAGUGCUGGAUCCCGGAUCCGGGGAGAGCACACCGCGCCCGGCCAUCUUAACAACCAGACGCUGCUUCCUUCACAACGGAAACCAGGGAAACAGCGGGGAGACAGCCAGGGAGAGAGGAGGAG